CUUCAACACCACCUACAGAGAUCCCCUGUGGAACUCCUCUCACACUUCAAAUCCACUUUUCAGGAAGAACCAGUCCUUUUGAGGCACUGCCCUGAUUGCUCACACCCCUCCCAGAUAAUCUCCCUUUCUUACAGUCAACUGUGCCGUGUGUCAUGACCUGUGAUGGAGACCACUACACGGCAGCUCUGAAAUUCAGCAGGACUGAAAUUAACCAAUUGGCCUUCCAUGUUUACUUCACCCACUCUGUGGCCUUCCCAAAAGGAAGCCUUCUGAUGCCACCACAAUAGAGCCACCCAUAGCCAGAAAGCAGCAGAAUAAGCGCACUGGCCCCCUUCCUCUGAUGACAUUGCUCUCUCAUUUCGGCUGUGUGGGGACACAUGAGGGAGGUGAAAGAAAAGAAACCCAACCACAGCCACUCCCUUCUGUAAGU
This 430-nucleotide long non-coding RNA is filed under the name Chinchilla lanigera (long-tailed chinchilla). RNAcentral describes it as "lncRNA (ENSCLAG00000022682.1)". The record is from RNAcentral. Lineage: Eukaryota; Metazoa; Chordata; Mammalia; Rodentia; Chinchillidae.